RNAcentral lists this long non-coding RNA (7928 nucleotides) under Zea mays. Its description in RNAcentral is "long non-coding RNA (ZMAY_LNC001637)". Lineage: Eukaryota; Viridiplantae; Streptophyta; Magnoliopsida; Poales; Poaceae. The record is from RNAcentral.
UGAAUUAUACUACAUCGCUCACAAAGAACUAUUUUAAUUUUAUUUUACUUCUCACAUGUUUUUCAUGUCAACAAUUACUCAAAUAUUUCUUUAUCGUAAAUAUAUACACAUAUGUAUAAGUGAUUAAACUAUUUCCUCAUCACACAGGCCUAUUAAUAUUCUAUUCGGUAUACUAAUUCCGCUAAUUGGCCGGAAUAGCGAAAUAACUCGCUAUAACUGAAUCUGGCUCGAUAAUCGCAAGAACUGUGAAGUCGACGAGAGUUUUGUGACUCACGCAAUUUAUCGAGCACCUAAUGAGCAUCGCACUAACACAUUAAUUUAUUUAACGUUCGAACUAUUCUAAACAAUUCAUCAGCUUACCGUUUCAACAGCUGCCACGAAUCCACGAGAUCGGUAGCGAUUUUCCGAUCCAGGCAAUUUGUCGAGCGCUUAGGGAAUAUCGCGCUGCUAGCUUCGUCUUCACCUGAUUCUUGGGUUUUCUUGCUGACGCGCGGAACGAUGAUGACUUUCAAGUUUCAGCUGAAGUCGGGAGCGAGCUGGUGAGGUGGGGUUUGAGCAGAGGAUGACAUGUUUGACGACUCGACGGCAAACGACGCGACGACGAGCUGAUCAAAUAAAAACUCCACGACGCCGACCGGCACAUGGGUUAGAGAACGGCGGCUGGUGAAAUCCGAGCGGGCAAGCGUACGGCAGGGAGCUUCGCAAUUUGACGGGACCGUGACCGAGCGAAUUUUAUGGCACGGACUGUGGAAGGACUCGGCAAGCGACGACGCGAGAAGUAAAGCGAGAUCGCGGUCGGGCGAACUCUAUGGUGCAGACUGCCUCACGGCCAAGACAGCUGUCGCGACAUGCACGGCAUCGCCACACCACAAUAUCACCACGGCCAUAACUCGAUGUGCGCACAGGCAGCUAGAGACCGAGCUAGGAAUCGCGCGUGAGCUUGACCAAAUCCGAGCAGGGAGAAAGAGGAGCAGGGCUGGCUAGAGUCGGGCACGGCGCUGGAGGGCGACUGAGAUGCGCGACGCAGGGGCUAGAGCACCGCUGGCCAUGGGAGGGAGAGGCAGCUGAGCCACGCGCCAUGGAGGACAGGAGCUGGGCGCGGCCACAGAGAGACGCUGGGAGCAGAGCGCUUGCUGGGAGAUGGAGAUGUGGCCGAGCGCCAUGGGUGAGCAGGGAGCAGCGAGGGCGUGGCUGCUGGGGAAACGAAGCUCCACGGCGAGCUGGAGCAUCACGGCGCGCAGGAGCUCUGGCCGAGCGCAGACGCCAUGGCGCGCGGCGAGCAGAGCAGGCAUGCGCAGGAGAUUAGAGAGAGGAGAAAGACGGCGGAAGGGUUGGAGGCUAGGGAAGCCGAGCGUUGCUGCUCCACCGGUGCGGGAGCUCGGUGGUGGAAGCAGCUGGAGUAGAUGUCGACUUCGAGAUGAGCCUGAGCGAAGGUACCACGGAGAUAAGAAUCAGACGUGUAGGGAUAAGAUUGAUGAAGCAAAAUAUCAGAAGAGAUGAUGAUCGUAGAGAAGGGGCAGGGAGCUCCAGGGAGGAGAUAAGCUCUGGUGAAGAAAGAUCCAGGGAGAGGAUAGCGAUGGGAGGAAGAGGAGAAAAAAAUCCUCACGCUAGGAUAGGAUCGGCUGGUAGUUAGUUUUUUUUAUUUCUUUCUUCUCUUUUUUUUAACCGGAAAUCAUAGAUAUUUCGAUCACGAUUUUUAAGGAUAUACACGGGGUUGACAUGCUAUAUAGCUACACAUUUCAUUCUAAUGAUUUAGCGAACUAAAUCAUCUACUAAAUACUUGCUGUCAGUACUAAUUACGGUGGUUUCGUUUACUUCGGACAGGAUGCAAAUAAACCGAAUUAGACGAAUUUCGGCUUCGGUAUUUAGUCGGCGCUUAACUCGUCUAACCUGGUAGUCUCAUUCACUAAUUAAGCACCUGAUUUCUCUGCCGAAGACAACAUACUGGAAAAAGAGGCCCAAUUAUUACUCUUGCGCUCGCCAAAACAGCGUGCUGAAGAACAAAUUGGAUCACCUCCUCCCGCACGAUUUUUCUCGGACAACGCGUGAUACAGAUUAUUUCGCCUCGAACAUUUUAAUCGUCGAGUUCAAAAUAAAUUUGUUUGAGAUGAAAUCAUCAGAAUGGGUUGGGCUUCCGAAUUCGUAUCCGAGCGAACGAUAAAUUUUAAUUACUCACCGGACACACCGAUUUUCAAAACAAAUACGUUCCGAACAACACGAAAAUUUUGGAAGAGCCCGAAUAAGUAGAAGUAAAAAUGAUGUCGCACUCGCGACAAACGGAACAGAUGCGAUAUUAAAAUCGCGAUAAGCGAGGAUGAUUAAAAUUUAAAAUCUGUUUUAUCUACUGAUAUUGCGUGCUUAAAUCCGUACUCGUUGUCGAGCGGAAUAUAAACACCUGGGGUGUUACAGCCCUCCCCCCUUAAAAGAAUCUCGUCCCGAGAUUCGGAGCGAAAGACUUUCAAGAGUAGAGAAGCAUGUAACCCACGUCCAUAUCAGCGGUAAUCAUAAGGCAGUUCUGAGCGAAGGCAAGUGUCUCAGGAUGUUGUUUCUCUAGUGGACAUAACAUGUAUCGCCUUAGGCUAAUUUAGAAAUGUCCACCGCAAGGGACGAUGUCUGCCAGAGGAACACAUAAGGUUCCAUGUGUGCAGUUUGCUUUCUCUGAUGACACUGUAUUAUCUGAGUCUGUUGAGCGAGCAGCAAAUACGUGAUUUUACCCAAAAAGAAUCAGAUGCAUCAUCUUGGGUAAACCACACAUAAAGAGGUUUACCAACAAGUGGUUACGGUAAGCUCAUAGCACAAGUGAUGAGUGCGGAUGUCGAACAACACCACAGUUGACCCGUGGCUAGCCAGAAAAUCCAAGUCCAAGAGAAAUGAUAAAGACUCAUAAAAUAUCAACGAAGAGAUCCGUUGAUGUUGGCUUUGCAACCAAUCCAUUUUAUCAAGCACUAGUCACGGCUCGACCUGAUCACUCAUGCUGGAAAAGCACACGCGAGACGAUCGAGGCACGACUAGAGCGAUGAUUAGGUGGUUACUAGUCGAAUUAACUUGGAUUUUGUAAGUACUUUCUCAGGAUGGUUUGUGCCAAAGUGAGUUUAGAUAACUCGAUAAAUCGAUCUCUAAACUCAACCUUUGUUCAUUGGGCAGUUACAAGUUAGUAAAACCAACUUGUUGAACUACUUUUGACAUUGAGCAGAUCCUCUCAGUGCCAUCGGUAAGCCAACGGUCGAGAGUUUACUUUGGCUAACAGGAGAUCAUGCACUUGGGUAGAAAUCCAUUUGGUCAGGUUGUUCAUCCGUUUCUUCCAUGCGGGAGGAACUGACUUGUUCUGGAAAUAUAUGGGUUAAAUAAGAGAGCGAAUGAACAAACUCCUGCAUCUCAACAGCUGGGGAAAUCCAAUCUCCAUUCUGAGAGCUAAUUAGCUGUCUCUUGACACUAAAAAGCUCCAAGGCUUCACCUUUACACAAAGGACGUAAAGGGAACAGGUAUGAGUAGUCACUACCAAGAUCAAAAGUAAUAAGACCACACAUGAGAGUGGUAUGCCCUUUUGAUCCAACGGAGAUGACAGAUGUUGCUUGAUCACUUGACAAACAACAUAGAAAUCGUUUCAAGGAAGGAGUCCGCGGAAGAUCACACAUCGGUGUAGUUCCACAAUGGAUCAUAACUAGAGAUUUCGAUACCAGCAUGCGCCAAGCAGCAGAAUCCUGUGUGCACAUUCACAGGAGGCUCUCAGUUUCGCCGUAGUACCAUAAGUCAUUAAUUGAGACGCCAUUAUCGAACUGGCACCAAUAAUGAAUCUCGCGUGGUAAGAAUAAUCUGCGUAAAGAUAACAUAUCGAUAUAGUCUAAUAAUGGAUUAUGACUACUAACGGUGAUACCAGUGGAUGCCAAGUUGCGCAACCAUGUGUGUGCAUCCACAAGAGGCCCUCGGUUACAUCGCGGUGCCAUCGGUUUUAGUCAUAACACCAUUGCCAGACGUAACCAAUAAGAAAUCUCGCGUGACACCAAUGGAUUGAACAAAGGUGACAAUAUACAAAGAAAUACUCCACCUGUAAAAAUGGUUACAAGUAGAGACCAAAUAGAUCAUGGCCCGAUGAAACGAACAAGGUAUGGCCAUAACCUAAACUUGUUAAUGAAGGGAGUACGAUGGGAGACUGUUAAUUCAGCCACAAGCAUAUUUCUAUGCACAUCGUAGAGAUUACAAGGCCAAAGAUUAAGUUGAUAUGCCUCCGAUAGAUAGGGGAAACCAAAGGCAUCAAUUUCAAGAAAAUACUCGGGCAGGUCUUUUCUGGGUUAGGUCGAUGGGUCGACAAUGCGAUAAGGGAGAAUUCAAAUUUGGGUCAUAGUUCACUAACUAAGAAUAUGACCUAGUUUUUCGGUUUAAGCAGACAAACUACCAACCUUCUAUCGGCACAUCAAGUACCAGGGUAAAUACAUAUAAUACCUAAAUAGAUUACCUAAGAACGGAGGAUAGCUAUUUCAUCGAAGUUCAUAACACAACAUUACACCACAUUAACUACAAUCAAUGGUUACUGGAAUAAGGAUGAGAGAAGCAUUUUGGGUGUAUAGGUGACAAACAUGAUGCAACAAUCAGGAUGCAUGCUCGUCCUAUUUGUCCUCACGAAUUUUGCCAACAUAAUAUGGCAAUAACGUUCUAUAUCGGUGGCAUACUAACGACUCUCUCGGUAUUUUGCUAGUCAUCAGCUACACCUACGUUUUCGAGGUUAGUGUACCUGCAGAAAAUUCCAUUACAGCCCAUUUUCCAAUGAUGCAGUUCACAUAUGACAGUUUAUCACAGUUUAUACUCCAUAUAUUUCUAUAUGGAGGCCAGCUCAUCAUUAAGCGUCGAGCCACGCAUAGGCGUUGUUGCCACACUUUAACCAUAGGGCAACUCAUUAUGGUAACUCACCUUCUUACCUGAGCGUAGGUGCGUCGUUACAAGUACAAUACACUUCACAGUAUUCCCAUGUCGGUAUACUCAUACACAUCCAUGGGGUACUGAAUCCUAGAAAAUUAAAUACUCCAUAUCGCAUCCUUCAUAUAUACAUAUGUGGAACAUGUAUAUAAUCAAGCGCAACAAUUAAACACUUCCCUAGACCGACGGUUGUUCGGUCAUGCUCUCACAUCUCACCUUACCUUGAGCGUCGAUCCAUUCAAAACUGAAUGGCCCCAAAAAUAACAAUACACAUGUAUGCAAUACCCCCGGUUGUGGGUUAUUGGUUUUUAAAUAAGCCACCUAAUAGUCCUUAAUUUAGGGCUUAAUAGAGGAUGUCGCUAGCAUUAUAGUUUUUCAAAACUGUUUUUCAAAGCCAAACAAUGUGUUUAGUUGAAAAUAGGUUUUUCAAAACCAAAACUUUUGUUUUGAAAAUACGUAUGUGACCGUAUAUACUUAAUCCAGCUCUGAUACCAGCCUGUGGCAGAACCUCCAAGUUAUUUGGCCCACAUGCACCUGUCCUUGUCCCAAAGACCUCAGACGGCUAUGCAUGUGCACCAGAUAACUUAAAAGGAUCUGUCCGAUUGCCCCAAGGACAUCGGAUAAACCACUUACAACCAGGACCGCAAGAUUAAGUAACACAAAUCACAUACAACAAUAUUUUUGCAGCGGAAAUCUUAUUACCAAAUUUUACAAGUUACAAAAAUUUUACAUUAUUUUAUCGGAGUGAUUACAAAAGUAUAAGUUUGAAAUAUAUGCUAGCUCAAGGGAUCAUCCUCAAUAAGAAGUAUAGAAGGGUUACUUAGACUUAUAAGAAGGCCAAGCCCACCGGCACUUAACACCAUCAACAAUAGCACAAAGUUAGAACCUGAAAAACAACAGGGAAUAAAACCCUGAGUAUGGAAUUACUCAACAAGACUUACCCGACUAAAGAAAAGACUCUCAAGGGUAUGGUGGUUUAAGGGAGUCAAGGUAAGGCUUCUCAAUAAUCAAAGACUCUGUUUUGCAGAAAUGCUUACUAAAGUGGAUCCUUAAAAAUCCAGUUUUAUUUGUCAAGUUAAGUAAAAUUACCUGCAACUAGAGUUCUUUCUACCCUAGUUCAAUCACUUGACCUACACUAGCCAAUUUCUUAACAAACCCAUCAUCUUUAGUGGAUUGCUACGUAUAGGGCAGUGACCAAGUCUUCAUAACCGCGAAGGUACGGCGCUCCGAAUCGAUUAUACUCAGCUGAGGAUCUCCAAUCAUACGACAUAUGUAGCACUUAACCCUUGCAUAUGUCAACCCGCCACCGGGGUUCUUAAGACCAGAUCAGGUUCACGCAAACCGAGAGCACAGAUACACCACCGUCCAGCCUCUUGCCACGGAGGGUACACGCUACUCCCGCCACCGCUCCACGCCCAUUUCGUGUUAUCUUAUUCUGGCCUUAGUCUGCCCGAGGCAAGGCUUACCCAUGACGAGGCAUGUGACCAGCUAAAGGGUCCUCGGUCAUCAAGCCUACAUCGAGACGGUCCUUAAUCGACUCAGACGGAGACACUACACCGAGACUCUCUUCUCGUGCAAGUCACCCGCCCGGUCUCAGCUUAAUCAUUUAAACCCAAAUCUUGGUACCUGGCAGAGGUACAUCUUUUCCGAUGUUGAACCCAUCAUGGCCAUGAUGGAUCCACCAUCAAGUUUUAUUUUUGAAAACAACCCUCCCACUUUGCCAAACAUUUUUUGUAAAACAAAUCCUUUUGUUUUUCUAGAGCAAUACUAAGCAUAGUAAAACCUCUUUGUAAAAACAGGGUUUCAAGGAAGGUAAUCAAGUUCAAGGAAGGUAAUGCAAGAAUUGUUUAAGCAUUCAACUCCUAUCACCUAAUGCAGCAAGCAAGUGAGAAAGAUUUUAAAAACAUCAAGGAAGGUGGCAAAUGCACCGGGGCUUGCCUGAGUAACACUAGGUUAGUGUUUGUUAGGCGACCACUUGGCGAGUAUCCUUUGGCUUGGCACUCAUUCAGAUUAUCCAUCUUCCGGUUCGUCCAUCAGCUUCAUCCUGCGGAGUAGUCCGCGCUUGGGGUCGACUUGGCUUGUCUUCCACAUCGCGCGAUUAAUUAACGUACCUAAAUGAAAUGCAUUAUGCACAUGAAUGUAUAUCGACAAGAAUAUCACACACCUAAAUAGUGCUACGCGAUGGCGAUUUAAACACCUAGCGGCGAGGCAUUGUACAAUUUUGUAUGGAAACAAUAGUUAUUAAUAUACGACUACGCGCAAUAAUUACGCUUCUCUAGAUUAACCGAACCUAACGUGAACAUCACAAAACAACAAAUUAUACACCUUUAAUACAAUUAGCCUAACCACAACUUAUCAGUUAAUUAAUUGAAUUCUAAACUUAUCCCUCGUUUUAUGAAUUACACUACAUCGCUCACAAAGAACUAUUUUAAUUUUAUUUUACUUCUCACAUGUUUUUCAUGUCAACAAUUACUCAAAUAUUUCUUUAUCGUAAAUAUAUACACAUCUGUAUAAGUGAUUAAACUAUUUCCUCAUCACACGGGCCUAUUAAUAUUCUAUUCGGUAUACUAAUUCCGCUAAUUGGCCGGAAUAGCGAAAUAACUCGCUAUAACUGAAUCUAGCUCGAUAAUCGCAAGAACUGCGAAGUCGACGAGAGUUUCGUGACUCACGCAAUUUAUCGAGCACCUAAUGAGCAUUGCACUAACACAUUAAUUUAUUUAACGUUCAAACUAUUCUAAACAAUUCAUCAGCUUACCGUUUCAACAGCUGCCACGAAUCCACGAGAUCGGUAGCGAUUUUCCGAUCCAGGCAAUUUGUCGAGCGCUUAGGGAAUAUCGCGCUGCUAGCUUCGUCUUCACCCGAUUCUUGGGAUUUCUUGUUGACGCGCGGAACGAUGACGACUUUCAGCUGAAGUCGGGAGCGAGCUGGUGAGGUGGGGUUUGAGCAGAGGAUGACAUGUUUGACGACUCGACGGCAAACGACGCGACGACGAGCUGAUCAAAUAAAAACUCCACGAC